UACGUAGGGGCCAAGCGUUGUCCGGAUUUAUUGGGCGUAAAGAGCUCGUAGGCGGUUGGGUAAGUCGGGUGUGAAAACUCCAGGCUCAACUUGGAGAUGCCACCCGAUACUGCUCUGACUUGAGUUCGGUAGGGGAGUGGGGAAUUCCUGGUGUAGCGGUGAAAUGCGCAGAUAUCAGGAGGAACACCGGUGGCGAAGGCGGGUCUCUGGGCCGUAACUGACGCUGAGGAGCGAAAGCGUGGGGAGCGAACAGG
RNAcentral lists this ribosomal RNA (254 nucleotides) under uncultured bacterium. RNAcentral's name for it is "partial 16S ribosomal RNA". It matches the Rfam family "Bacterial small subunit ribosomal RNA", at positions 524 to 776 of the family's 1533-position model. The record is from RNAcentral.